RNAcentral lists this ribosomal RNA (418 nucleotides) under uncultured bacterium. RNAcentral's name for it is "bacterial SSU rRNA". It matches the Rfam family "Bacterial small subunit ribosomal RNA", at positions 30 to 451 of the family's 1533-position model. The record is from RNAcentral.
AUUGAACGCUGGCGGCAGGCCUAACACAUGCAAGUCGAGCGCGAAAGUUCUUCGGAAUGAGUAAAGCGGCGGACGGGUGAGUAACGCGUGGGAAUCUGCCCAGUAGUGGGGGACAACAGUCGGAAACGACUGCUAAUACCGCAUACGCCCUACGGGGGAAAGGGGGGGAUCUUCGGACCUCUCGCUAUUGGAUGAGCCCGCGUCGGAUUAGCUAGUUGGUAGGGUAAAGGCCUACCAAGGCUACGAUCCGUAACUGGUCUGAGAGGAUGAUCAGUCACACUGGAACUGAGACACGGUCCAGACUCCUACGGGAGGCAGCAGUGGGGAAUAUUGGACAAUGGGCGCAAGCCUGAUCCAGCCAUGCCGCGUGUGUGAAGAAGGCCUUAGGGUUGUAAAGCACUUUCAGUGGGGAGAAAGG